RNAcentral lists this ribosomal RNA (1505 nucleotides) under metagenome. Its description in RNAcentral is "bacterial SSU rRNA". It matches the Rfam family "Bacterial small subunit ribosomal RNA". The record is from RNAcentral.
AGAGUUUGAUCAUGGCUCAGGACGAACGCUGGCGGCGUGCCUAAUACAUGCAAGUAGAACGCUGAAGGGAGGAGCUUGCUCUUCUUGGAUGAGUUGCGAACGGGUGAGUAACGCGUAGGUAACCUGCCUUGUAGCGGGGGAUAACUAUUGGAAACGAUAGCUAAUACCGCAUAACAAUGGAUGACACAUGUCAUUUAUUUGAAAGGGGCAAUUGUUCCACUACAAGAUGGACCUGCGUUGUAUUAGCUAGUAGGUGAGGUAAUGGCUCACCUAGGCGACGAUACAUAGCCGACCUGAGAGGGUGAUCGGCCACACUGGACUGAGACACGGCCCAGACUCCUACGGGAGGCAGCAGUAGGGAAUCUUCGGCAAUGGGGGCAACCCUGACCGAGCAACGCCGCGUGAGUGAAGAAGGUUUUCGGAUCGUAAAGCUCUGUUGUAAGUCAAGAACGGGUGUGAGAGUGGAAAGUUCACACUGUGACGGUAGCUUACCAGAAAGGGACGGCUAACUACGUGCCAGCAGCCGCGGUAAUACGUAGGUCCCGAGCGUUGUCCGGAUUUAUUGGGCGUAAAGCGAGCGCAGGCGGUUUGAUAAGUCUGAAGUUAAAGGCUGUGGCUCAACCAUAGUUCGCUUUGGAAACUGUCAAACUUGAGUGCAGAAGGGGAGAGUGGAAUUCCAUGUGUAGCGGUGAAAUGCGUAGAUAUAUGGGGGAACACCGGUGGCGAAAGCGGCUCUCUGGUCUGUAACUGACGCUGAGGCUCGAAAGCGUGGGGAGCGAACAGGAUUAGAUACCCUGGUAGUCCACGCCGUAAACGAUGAGUGCUAGGUGUUGGAUCCUUUCCGGGAUUCAGUGCCGCAGCUAACGCAUUAAGCACUCCGCCUGGGGAGUACGACCGCAAGGUUGAAACUCAAAGGAAUUGACGGGGGCCCGCACAAGCGGUGGAGCAUGUGGUUUAAUUCGAAGCAACGCGAAGAACCUUACCAGGUCUUGACAUCCCGAUGCUAUUUCUAGAGAUAGAAAGUUACUUCGGUACAUCGGUGACAGGUGGUGCAUGGUUGUCGUCAGCUCGUGUCGUGAGAUGUUGGGUUAAGUCCCGCAACGAGCGCAACCCCUAUUGUUAGUUGCCAUCAUUCAGUUGGGCACUCUAGCGAGACUGCCGGUAAUAAACCGGAGGAAGGUGGGGAUGACGUCAAAUCAUCAUGCCCCUUAUGACCUGGGCUACACACGUGCUACAAUGGUUGGUACAACGAGUUGCGAGUCGGUGACGGCGAGCUAAUCUCUUAAAGCCAAUCUCAGUUCGGAUUGUAGGCUGCAACUCGCCUACAUGAAGUCGGAAUCGCUAGUAAUCGCGGAUCAGCACGCCGCGGUGAAUACGUUCCCGGGCCUUGUACACACCGCCCGUCACACCACGAGAGUUUGUAACACCCGAAGUCGGUGAGGUAACCUUUUGGAGCCAGCCGCCUAAGGUGGGAUAGAUGAUUGGGGUGAAGUCGUAACAAGGUA